This 473-nucleotide unclassified non-coding RNA is filed under the name Hevea brasiliensis (rubber tree). The record is from RNAcentral. Lineage: Eukaryota; Viridiplantae; Streptophyta; Magnoliopsida; Malpighiales; Euphorbiaceae.
UUUUUUUUUUUUUUUAGAGCGAGAGCUUCAAGCCUUUUCUGCUACCAUUUCAUCAACCUCCUCUGCCCAAGGCAGAGGAAGGCCCUUCUAUCCCUGCCCUGCUUGUUGUAUGCCCUCCUUGCAGCUCGGUUGGGUUAAUAUUUAUGGUUUCUCUUAAGAGCUGCUUUAGUUGUCUGCUGUGACUUGUGCUUUGUAUGGACGAGGACGAGUAUUGGUCUUCUAACCUGGAAUCAAUGGAGAGAGAGCUUUAUUAGUUUGCUUCUAGGAGAAGAGAACCUAAUGGUUCAAGUGUUGGUGACCUGUCUUGGACCAUAGCGGGAGGCACAAGGGCUUUCUCUCUUUCUUCUCUAUCUUCUUCUCCCUGUAUUAUGUGAUUCGUGGAACCAUGAUUUGUGCUUAUUCUAUUUUGAGUGGAACCUGUGUUUUUGUUCGUUUCUGUGUGGGUGAGGAUGCAAUAGAGUUUCUUUUUCAGG